This 253-nucleotide ribosomal RNA is filed under the name uncultured bacterium. RNAcentral describes it as "partial 16S ribosomal RNA". It matches the Rfam family "Bacterial small subunit ribosomal RNA", at positions 524 to 776 of the family's 1533-position model. The record is from RNAcentral.
UACAGAGGGUGCAAACGUUGUUCGGAAUUAUUGGGCGUAAAGCGCGCGUAGGCGGUUCGAUAAGUCGACUGUGAAAGCCCUUGGCUCAACCAAGGAAGUGCAGUCGAUACUGGCGAACUCGAGUGCAGCAGAGGAUGGCGGAAUGCCGAGUGUAGAGGUGAAAUUCGUAGAUAUUGGGUAGAACACCGGUGGCGAAGGCGGCCAUCUGGGAGGGUACUGACGCUGAGGCGCGAAAGCGUGGGUAGCAAACAGG